GAUGAACGCUGGCGGCGUGCCUAAUACAUACAAGUCGAGCGAACAGACGAGGAGCUUGCUCCUCUGACGUUAGCGGCGGACGGGUGAGUAACACGUGGAUAACCUACCUAUAAGACUGGGAUAACUUCGGGAAACCGGAGCUAAUACCGGAUAAUAUAUUGAACCGCAUGGUUCAAUAGUGAAAGACGGUUUUGCUGUCACUUAUAGAUGGAUCCGCGCCGCAUUAGCUAGUUGGUAAGGUAACGGCUUACCAAGGCAACGAUGCGUAGCCGACCUGAGAGGGUGAUCGGCCACACUGGAACUGAGACACGGUCCAGACUCCUACGGGAGGCAGCAGUAGGGAAUCUUCCGCAAAGGGCGAAAGCCUGACGGAGCAACGCCGCGUGAGUGAUGAAGGUCUUCGGAUCGUAAAACUCUGUUAUUAGGGAAGAACAAAUGUGUAAGUAACUAUGCACGUCUUGACGGUACCUAAUCAGAAAGCCACGGCUAACUACGUG
This 497-nucleotide ribosomal RNA is filed under the name uncultured bacterium. Its description in RNAcentral is "partial 16S ribosomal RNA". It matches the Rfam family "Bacterial small subunit ribosomal RNA", at positions 28 to 507 of the family's 1533-position model. The record is from RNAcentral.